GGAUAGAUGACUGAAUUGGUUUAAGGUAUCUUACUUGAAAUAAGAAGGUUUAUUACCAUCUGGGUUCAAAUCCCAGUCUAUCCG
This is a non-coding RNA of Tieghemiomyces parasiticus, 84 nucleotides long. The record is from the annotation of a GenBank genome assembly. Lineage: Eukaryota; Fungi; Kickxellomycota; Dimargaritomycetes; Dimargaritales; Dimargaritaceae.